RNAcentral lists this ribosomal RNA (279 nucleotides) under uncultured archaeon. Its description in RNAcentral is "partial 16S rRNA". It matches the Rfam family "Archaeal small subunit ribosomal RNA", at positions 1047 to 1325 of the family's 1478-position model. The record is from RNAcentral.
AAGACCCGUGCCUACAGUUGCCAGCAUACCCUCCGGGGUGAUGGGCACACUGUGGGGACCGCCGCUGCUAAAGCGGAGGAAGGAGCGGGCUACGGUAGGUCAGUAUGCCCCGAAUAUCCCGGGCUACACGCGAGCUACAAUGGUUGGUACAAUGGGUAUCUACCCCGAAAGGGGAUGGAAAUCUCCUAAAGCCAAUCUUAGUCCGGAUUGAGGGCUGCAACUCGCCCUCAUGAAGCUGGAAUCCGUAGUAAUCGCGUUUCAACAGAACGCGGUGAAUAC